RNAcentral lists this ribosomal RNA (497 nucleotides) under uncultured bacterium. RNAcentral describes it as "partial 16S ribosomal RNA". It matches the Rfam family "Bacterial small subunit ribosomal RNA", at positions 28 to 507 of the family's 1533-position model. The record is from RNAcentral.
GAUGAACGCUGGCGGCGUGCCUAAUACAUGCAAGUCGAGCGAACAGACGAGGAGCUUGCUCCUCUGACGUUAGCGGCGGACGGGUGAGUAACACGUGGAUAACCUACCUAUAAGACUGGGAUAACUUCGGGAAACCGGAGCUAAUACCGGAUAAUAUAUUGAACCGCAUGGUUCAAUAGUGAAAGACGGUUUUGCUGGCACUUAUAGAUGGAUCCGCGCCGCAUUAGCUAGUUGGGAAGGUAACGGCUUACGAAGGCAACGAUGCGUGGCCGACCUGAGGGGGUGAUCGGCCACCCUGGAACUGAGACACGGUCCAGACGACUAAGGGAGGCAGCAGUAGGGAAUCUUCCGCAAUGGGCGAAAGCCUGACGGAGCAACGCCGCGUGAGUGAUGAAGGUCUUCGGAUCGUAAAACUCUGUUAUUAGGGAAGAACAAAUGUGUAAGUAACUAUGCACGUCUUGACGGUACCUAAUCAGAAAGCCACGGCUAACUACGUG